This 502-nucleotide ribosomal RNA is filed under the name uncultured euryarchaeote. RNAcentral describes it as "bacterial SSU rRNA". It matches the Rfam family "Archaeal small subunit ribosomal RNA", at positions 343 to 849 of the family's 1478-position model. The record is from RNAcentral. Lineage: Archaea; Methanobacteriati; Methanobacteriota.
ACACUUUACAAUGCGGGAAACCGCGAUAAGGGAACCCCGAGUGCCAGCAUCAAAUGUUGGCUGUCCAGAUGAUUAAAAAUCAUUUGUUAGCAAGGGCCGGGCAAGACCGGUGCCAGCCGCCGCGGUAACACCGGCGGCCCGAGUGGUAGCCGUUUUUAUUGGGUCUAAAGGGUCCGUAGCCGGCCUGAUAAGUCCUUUGGGAAAUCUGGCAGCUUAACUGUCAGGCUUCUAAGGGAUACUGUCAGGCUUGGGACCGGAAGAGGUAAGGGGUACUCCAGGGGUAGGAGUGAAAUCUUGUAAUCCCUGGGGGACCAUCUGUGGCGAAGGCGCCUUACCAGAACGGGUCCGACGGUGAGGGACGAAAGCUAGGGGAGCAAACCGGAUUAGAUACCCGGGUAGUCCUAGCUGUAAACGGUGCUCGCUAGGUGUCAGACACGGUGCGACCGUGUUUGGUGCCGCAGGAAAGCCGUUAAGCGAGCCACCUGGAAGUACGCCGCAAGGC